Long non-coding RNA from Mustela erminea (ermine), 316 nucleotides. RefSeq lists it as uncharacterized. Lineage: Eukaryota; Metazoa; Chordata; Mammalia; Carnivora; Mustelidae. The transcript has 3 exons. The record is from RefSeq and is a predicted model, not a curated record.
UCUUAUAAAACCAGUUUGUGGGCACGGCUUCUCAAUCUCCCUCUGCCUUUUACCACCUUGAGCCCCUGCACAGAUAUCCUCAAUAGCAAGGGAUGAGCACAUCACAGGGCAACCAACACACGGAAGAUCAGCACAGUCCAUCCUGAGGACCCUAGAGGAUAAGCCCAUGUCCACCCUCAAUAACACAACCCUUCUCCUCCAAGACCUGUCAUCCUGAAUAAAAGAAAGAAGAUGGGGGUCCAAGGAAGUGAGUUCUGAAGGCUGAGAAGUCCAAGACCAAGGUGCCCGCUAAUUCAGGCUCUGCUGAGGACUCGCU